RNAcentral lists this ribosomal RNA (409 nucleotides) under Acanthamoeba genotype T4. Its description in RNAcentral is "SSU rRNA". It matches the Rfam family "Eukaryotic small subunit ribosomal RNA", at positions 784 to 1096 of the family's 1831-position model. Lineage: Eukaryota; Discosea; Longamoebia; Acanthamoebidae. The record is from RNAcentral.
AUUUUCUGCCACCGAAUACAUUAGCAUGGGAUAAUGGAAUAGGACCCUGUCCUCCUAUUUUCAGUUGGUUUUGGCAGCGCGAGGACUAGGGUAAUGAUUAAUAGGGAUAGUUGGGGGCAUUAAUAUUUAAUUGUCAGAGGUGAAAUUCUUGGAUUUAUGAAAGAUUAACUUCUGCGAAAGCAUCUGCCAAGGAUGUUUUCAUUAAUCAAGAACGAAAGUUAGGGGAUCGAAGACGAUCAGAUACCGUCGUAGUCUUAACCAUAAACGAUGCCGACCAGCGAUUAGGAGACGUUGAAUACAAAACACCACCAUCGGCGCGGUCGUCCCUGGCUCGUCGUCUCACGACGGCGGGCGGGGGCGGUUUAGCCCGAUGGCACCGGUGAAUGACUCCCCUAGCAGCUUGUGAGAA